This 243-nucleotide ribosomal RNA is filed under the name Methanomassiliicoccales archaeon. RNAcentral describes it as "partial 23S ribosomal RNA". It matches the Rfam family "Archaeal large subunit ribosomal RNA", at positions 2687 to 2931 of the family's 2987-position model. The record is from RNAcentral. Lineage: Archaea; Methanobacteriati; Thermoplasmatota; Thermoplasmata; Methanomassiliicoccales.
GUCGUGAGACAGGUUUGUUGCUUUUCGAUGGAAGUGUGUUGGUGCCUGACGAGAAGAGUCCUUUAGUACGAGAGGAACAGGGACUCGUGGCCUCUAGUUGAUCAGUUGUCUGGCAAGGCAUUGCUGAGCAGCCACGCCAUCGCGGAUAAGAGCUGAAAGCAUCUAAGCUCGAAGUCGCCUCGAAAAAGAGGCACCUUACAGCACCCGUAAAUGACGGGUUUGAUAGGACCGGGAUGUACGCAC